RNAcentral lists this long non-coding RNA (453 nucleotides) under Trifolium pratense (red clover). RNAcentral describes it as "long non-coding RNA (TPRA_LNC010812)". Lineage: Eukaryota; Viridiplantae; Streptophyta; Magnoliopsida; Fabales; Fabaceae. The record is from RNAcentral.
GUUGAUCUGCUCAUUGUUUCUUUUCUUUUUACAUAGAAUUUUAUAAUUAUAUUACUUUUAUUUUGCAGAAGAUAAAUAAUGAUGAUAUCGAAGAAGAAAUGAAAGAUCAUGAAGAAGAAGAAGAAGAGAGCUAGAUGUUUUUGUUUUUUUAAUAGGAUAUACAUUUUGAUGAUGUUAGUUUGAUGGUGAAUGCACAUAAUUGUGAUAUACAAUUCAUGUUAGUUUGAUAUAUGGUGAAUGCACAUUUGGAUAUACAUUUAAGAUGUUAGUUUCAUUUUGAAGAUGUUAGUUUGAUUGUGAAUGAUUGACAAUAUUAGGACAACGUUAUGUUGAUCGAUGUUAUUAUUUUGAUAUAUAUGAAUGAUAAUCAUUUUAGUUUAAUUUGUAUGUCUUUUAUUAUUGGAUUAUAUUGAAAUUAUUGUUCUUUAGGUCUACUAAUAUAAUAAUAAUAAU